GACGAACCGUCCAAACGUUAUUCGGAAUUACUGGGCUUAAAGGGUGCGUAGGCGGUGCUACAAGUCGGGUGUGAAAUCCCUCAGCUUAACUGAGGAAUUGCGCCCGAAACUGUAGUGCUGGAGUGAGGCAGGGGUGAGCGGAACUGAUGGUGGAGCGGUGAAAUGUGUUGAUAUCAUCAGGAACACCGGUGGCGAAGGCGGCUCACUGGGCCUUUACUGACGCUGAGGCACGAAAGCUAGGGGAGCAAAC
Molecule: ribosomal RNA, 250 nt
Filed under: uncultured bacterium
Lineage: Bacteria
Description: partial 16S ribosomal RNA
Rfam family: Bacterial small subunit ribosomal RNA
Source: RNAcentral